UACGUAGGGGGCAAGCGUUGUCCGGAUUUAUUGGGCGUAAAGAGCGUGUAGGCGGCCAGGUAGGUCAGCUGUGAAAACUUGAGGCUCAACCUCAAGCUGUCGGUGGAAACCCCUUGGCUAGAGUCCGGAAGAGGAGAGUGGAAUUCCUGGUGUAGCGGUGAAAUGCGCAGAUAUCAGGAAGAACACCAAUGGCGAAGGCAGCUCUCUGGGACGGUACUGACACUGAGACGCGAAAGCGUGGGGAGCGAACAGG
RNAcentral lists this ribosomal RNA (253 nucleotides) under uncultured bacterium. Its description in RNAcentral is "partial 16S ribosomal RNA". It matches the Rfam family "Bacterial small subunit ribosomal RNA", at positions 524 to 776 of the family's 1533-position model. The record is from RNAcentral.